AUUGAACGCUGGCGGCAGGCUUAACACAUGCAAGUCGAACGAGUGGCGGACGGGUGAGUAAUGCUUGGUAAUCUGGCUUAUGGAGGGGGAUAACGAUGGGAAACUGUCGCUAACACCGCGUACCAUAGGAUGAGCCUAAGGGGGAUGAGUUAGUGGGUGGGGUAAUGGCAUCUCUAGCCGGCGAUCUCUAGCUGGUCUGAGAGGAUGACCAGACAAACCGGGACGGAGACACGGCCCGGACUCCUACGGGAGGCAGCAGGGGGGAAUAUUGCGCAAUGGGGGAAAGCUGACGCAGCCAUGCCGCGUGAAUGAAGAAGGCCGUAGGGUUGUAAAGUUCUUUCGGUGACGAGGCGUUAAUCACAGAAGAAGCACCGGCUAACUCCGUGCCAGCAGCCGCGGUAAUAC
RNAcentral lists this ribosomal RNA (405 nucleotides) under uncultured bacterium. RNAcentral describes it as "partial 16S ribosomal RNA". It matches the Rfam family "Bacterial small subunit ribosomal RNA", at positions 29 to 526 of the family's 1533-position model. The record is from RNAcentral.